AGGAUUAACGCUGGCGGCGUGCAUGAAACAUGCAAGUCGAGCGCGGUGUGAUGCGGGGUAACCCAAUUCACAUCUAGCGGCGAACGGGUGAGUAACACGUGAGCAACCUACCUUUGAGUUGGGGAUAGCCCUGGGAAACCAGGAUUAAUACCCGAUGUGGUCACAACAGGACAUCCUGAUGUGAGUAAAGGCGUAAGCCGCUCAAUGACGGGCUCGCGGCCUAUUAGCUUGUUGGUGGGGUAACGGCCUACCAAGGCGAUGAUGGGUAGCUGGUCUGAGAGGACGAUCAGCCACACUGGGACUGAGACACGGCCCAGACUCCUACGGGAGGCAGCAGUUAGGAAUUUUCCGCAAUGGGCGAAAGCCUGACGGAGCAACGCCGCGUGAGUGAUGAAGACCUUCGGGUUGUAAAGCUCUGUCGGAGGGAAGAACACAAUGACGGUACCCUCCAAGAAAGCCCCGGCUAACUACGCGCCAGCAGCCGCGGUAA
RNAcentral lists this ribosomal RNA (490 nucleotides) under uncultured bacterium. RNAcentral's name for it is "SSU rRNA". It matches the Rfam family "Bacterial small subunit ribosomal RNA", at positions 26 to 523 of the family's 1533-position model. The record is from RNAcentral.